RNAcentral lists this transfer RNA (73 nucleotides) under Nitzschia sp. PL1-4. RNAcentral's name for it is "tRNA-Trp". It matches the Rfam family "tRNA". From Rfam's summary of the family: Transfer RNA (tRNA) molecules are approximately 80 nucleotides in length. Their secondary structure includes four short double-helical elements and three loops (D, anti-codon, and T loops). Lineage: Eukaryota; Bacillariophyta; Bacillariophyceae; Bacillariales; Bacillariaceae. The record is from RNAcentral.
ACGUUCUUAGUCGAAUGGUUUAAGAUAUUAGUUUCCAAAACUAAGGAUGGAGGUUCGAAUCCUUCAGAACGUG